Long non-coding RNA from Selaginella moellendorffii, 348 nucleotides. RefSeq lists it as uncharacterized. The record is from RefSeq and is a predicted model, not a curated record. NCBI's taxonomy places the organism in Eukaryota, Viridiplantae, Streptophyta, Lycopodiopsida, Selaginellales, Selaginellaceae. The transcript is spliced from 3 exons.
UUGGAGAGGAGAAAUGUAGGCCGCCCAGGAUUCUUCUUCUUCCCGGCGCGGCUGGAUCGAUCUCGAGGAGCUGUUGGGCGCUUCAGAACCAGGCGCAGCGGAAGCUGAGCAAUGGCUACGCAGGUUUUAUGUCGUGGCUCGCGAGCCGGAACGAUGAUGGCGAUCCAUCGGCGGUGCGCAUUGGGACUUCGCGAGAAUCUGGCGGGCAGGGGAUAAUGUUGGUUCUUGUUUACGUCCAGAUGAUAGCUCCUAGCGAUCUUCCUGACCAGCUCAGCACGGUUUUGCCCAGCACUGUUAAGCCGUGGACCAAACUUGCUCUUAUUGUCCUCAUGGAACGCUACAAAGGCC